UACGUAGGGUGCAAGCGUUAUCCGGAAUUAUUGGGCGUAAAGAGCUCGUAGGCGGUUUGUCGCGUCUGCUGUGAAAACUGGAGGCUCAACCUCCAGCCUGCAGUGGGUACGGGCAGACUAGAGUGCGGUAGGGGAGAUUGGAAUCCUGGUGUAGCGGUGGAAUGCGCAGAUAUCAGGAGGAACACCGAUGGCGAAGGCAGAUCUCUGGGCCAUUACUGACGCUGAGGAGCGAAAGCGUGGGGAGCGAACAGG
This 252-nucleotide ribosomal RNA is filed under the name uncultured bacterium. RNAcentral's name for it is "partial 16S ribosomal RNA". It matches the Rfam family "Bacterial small subunit ribosomal RNA", at positions 524 to 776 of the family's 1533-position model. The record is from RNAcentral.